CCAAAGGCUCUUGUUAGAGCCACGCACAAUUCCACUUAGUUUCUUU
Schistosoma mattheei is the source of this 46-nucleotide non-coding RNA. The record is from Rfam. NCBI's taxonomy places the organism in Eukaryota, Metazoa, Platyhelminthes, Trematoda, Strigeidida, Schistosomatidae.